UACAGAGGGGGCAAGCGUUAUUCGGAAUUAUUGGGCGUAAAGGGCGCGUAGGCGGCCUGGCAAGUGGAAGGUGAAAUCCCUCGGCUUAACCGAGGAACUGCCCUCCAGACUGCUUGGCUUGAGUCCGGGAGAGGUGAGUGGAAUUCCCAGUGUAGCGGUGAAAUGCGUAGAUAUUGGGAGGAACACCAGUGGCGAAGGCGGCUCACUGGACCGGAACUGACGCUGAGACGCGAAAGCGUGGGGAGCGAACAGG
RNAcentral lists this ribosomal RNA (253 nucleotides) under uncultured bacterium. RNAcentral's name for it is "partial 16S ribosomal RNA". It matches the Rfam family "Bacterial small subunit ribosomal RNA", at positions 524 to 776 of the family's 1533-position model. The record is from RNAcentral.